This 24-nucleotide non-coding RNA is filed under the name Arabidopsis thaliana (thale cress). Lineage: Eukaryota; Viridiplantae; Streptophyta; Magnoliopsida; Brassicales; Brassicaceae. The record is from RNAcentral.
UGCAACAUUGUGCUUGUCUACGGA